RNAcentral lists this ribosomal RNA (491 nucleotides) under uncultured bacterium. RNAcentral's name for it is "partial 16S ribosomal RNA". It matches the Rfam family "Bacterial small subunit ribosomal RNA", at positions 29 to 506 of the family's 1533-position model. The record is from RNAcentral.
AGUGAACGCUGGCGGUAGGCCUAACACAUGCAAGUCGAACGGCAGCACAGUAAGAGCUUGCUCUUACGGGUGGCGAGUGGCGGACGGGUGAGGAAUACAUCGGAAUCUACUUUUUCGUGGGGGAUAACGUAGGGAAACUUACGCUAAUACCGCAUACGACCUACGGGUGAAAGCAGGGGAUCUUCGGACCUUGCGCGAUUGAAUGAGCCGAUGUCGGAUUAGCUAGUUGGCGGGGUAAAGGCCCACCAAGGCGACGAUCCGUAGCUGGUCUGAGAGGAUGAUCAGCCACACUGGAACUGAGACACGGUCCAGACUCCUACGGGAGGCAGCAGUGGGGAAUAUUGGACAAUGGGCGCAAGCCUGAUCCAGCCAUACCGAGUGGGUGAAGAAGGCCUUCGGGUUGUAAAGCCCUUUUGUUGGGAAAGAAAAGCAGCAGGUUAAUACCCCGCUGUCCUGACGGUACCCAAAGAAUAAGCACCGGCUAACUUCGU